Molecule: ribosomal RNA, 540 nt
Filed under: uncultured Basidiomycota
Lineage: Eukaryota; Fungi; Basidiomycota
Description: partial 18S ribosomal RNA
Rfam family: 5.8S ribosomal RNA (bases 155-308)
Source: RNAcentral
UUCCGUAGGUGACCUGCGGAAGGAUCAUUAGUGAUUGCCUUAAUUGGCUUAUAACUAUAUCCACUUACACCUGUGAACUGUUCUACUACUUGACGCAAGUCGAGUAUUUUUACAAACAAUGUGUAAUGAACGUCGUUUUAUUAUAACAAAAUAAAACUUUCAACAACGGAUCUCUUGGCUCUCGCAUCGAUGAAGAACGCAGCGAAUUGCGAUAAGUAAUGUGAAUUGCAGAAUUCAGUGAAUCAUCGAAUCUUUGAACGCAGCUUGCGCUCUCUGGUAUUCCGGAGAGCAUGCCUGUUUCAGUGUCGUGAAAUCUCAACCACUAGGGUUUCCUAAUGGAUUGGAUUUGGGCGUCUGCGAUCUCUGAUCGCUCGCCUUAAAAGAGUUAGCAAGUUUGACAUUAAUGUCUGGUGUAAUAAGUUUCGCUGGGUCCAUUGUGUUGAAGCGUGCUUCUACUCGUCCGCAAGGACAAUUACUUUGACUCUGGCCUGAAAUCAGGUAGGACUACCCGCUGAACUUAAGCAUAUCAAUAAGCGGAGG